UUUCACACGAAUUGGUUAGAUGGUGCUGAUCAAAAGAGUAUAAACAAUGUGUAUUAUAUUCUUACAUUUAUAUUUUUAAUAUUUAUCAGCAACACAUAUGCAUUCAAAGAAAGUAAAGAUUCAACGAAAGAAAAAGCACUCUUUCAUAUACUUGAACAAGGACUGAUAAAGCUUGCAGAAAGAGAUAUACACUAAAUAUGUAGUGUAACUCUGGCUGAUGCAAUGUACUGUUUAUUUCGAGCUUGUUGUCUAAAGAGUUUAUUUAUAUUGAAAGCUAAACCACGAUAUGUGCUCCUUUGUAUCUGUGUGAUUGUGCUGCUGGACUAUUUUGGAGCAUUCACACAUCUAUUUGAGAUAACAUACGAUGAAAACUUUGUUUAUCCAUAUAAGGGCAAUAUACAUGAGCUAGCAAAUGCAUUGCGACAUAAUGAAAAGCCUGAUGUUGAACCUAUAAAUGAAUACAAGUAUUCUUUUGUGCUACACAACCCACAAAAAUGCACAGAAGCUGGCUAUAGUACAUUCCAUGUUGUAUAUGUAGUAAAGACUGCUUUAGAACAUUUUGAAAGAAGAGCUGCCAUACGUAAGACAUGGGGAUAUGAAAAAAGAUUCUUUGAUGUGCCAUUAAGAACCAUUUUCUUAGUAGGCAUACAUCCAGAUAAUGAGGAAUUACAAGCAAAACUAAAAAUAGAAGCAGCAAAAUACAAAGACAUUGUACAAGCAGAUUUUGUAGACACAUACUAUAACAACACUAUAAAAACAAUGAUGGGCUUUAAGUGGAUAGUAAAGUAUUGUUCUAAUUCAAAGUUUUAUAUGUUUUGCGAUGAUGAUAUGUAUAUAUCAGUAAAAAAUGCAUUAAGAUUUGUCAGAAAUCCAGCUAAAUAUCCAGGUUACUUUAAAGAACCCAAGAAAUUAUCUGCACAUAAAAGAGAGAUUAAGCUUUCCGAUAUGAUAAUUAGUAAUCUUAGUAAUCAAAGUAUGAUUCAUGAUGCAACAGUUAAAAGUUCGUCUAUGCAAAGCUUUAUUAUUAAUAAAUCGGCAAAAAAUAAUUCGAAAAGUAAUAUACAUGCAGGACAAAAUGAAAGAGUCAAUGAAAAUUUUAAAAUGGAAGAUAAACAGUUGAUUAGAUUAAAUAUGUCCAUGUUAAAUAGAACAAAACGACAGCUCUUCGAUUUCGAGCUCCCAGACGACGCUAGACUGUUUGCAGGAUUCGUAUUUAUAUCCUCACCACACCGGCAUAGAUCCUCUAAAUGGUAUGUCUCAUUAAAAGAAUACCCAUACAAUUUAUGGCCACCCUACGUCACAGCUGGUGCAUACAUCUUGUCUAAAGAAGCUCUCUUGGACAUGUACUACACUAGUUUUUACACCAAACACUUCAGAUUCGACGAUAUUUUUCUAGGUCUAGUAGCAAAGAAAGCUGAAAUAGAGCCAUUUCAUUGUGAAGACUUCCAUUUUUAUAAGAAAGAAUAUACGAAAUAUAAUUAUAAAUAUGUCAUAGCAUCUCAUGGAUAUGGAGAUCCAAACGAACUCUUACAAGUAUGGAACGAACAAAAAGCUCUCGGAAAUGCUUAAAUUUAUAAACAUAAAUAUGCAAGAAUAUUUGUAAUAAUAUAGUAAAAGUAUAUAAUAUAUAUUCCAUUUACAUGGAUAUUUAACUCUUUCCAUAUUUUAAAAUAAUGAACAAUCAAACAUUACAAUGCAUAUUGUUGCUAAAAUUAUUAUCUAAUACAUUAGUAUAUAUCGCUAUUUUAGUGAUAUAUAAAUAUAUUUCAAAAAUAUAUGGUGAUAUAAUCUACAGUAAUAUAGCAGUCUCAUUAUUUAUUAUAAAAGAUAUGGUGAUAUUUUCAUCUCUAGAAUAGAUUUUAUGCUACAUAAUCAGUCUUAUGCAUAUAUAUAUAUAUACACAUGUUGCAAUAAAAAAUUGACGUUAUAUGUAUUAUAUAAAAAUACAUUAUAUACUGAAUAUACAGUCAAACAUAACACAUUAAUAUAACUGAUAUAAAUUAGAUAUAAAUUUUAUUAUGAUCAAAAAAUAAUUUAGAAUUAAUAAUGCUAAAAUUCUGUAUACACAAUUUUGUUCUUGUUAGUUGGUAAUAACUAUGUUUCUGUGAUAAUGCCUGUCAAUAAUUCAAUAAAUAUACUUCCAUUAUUCACCAAGCUUUUUAUCAAGCUUCAAUUCUUAUUGUCGAUAUUGCUGCUUGUCAAUGUUUACUUUGACUAAAGUUUGAUCCAAACUUACAGCUUCUUUUUUUAUCAUAUUAAGCAAUAAUUGUGAGCUCUCCAAAAUCUAUAAUAAAAAUAUAUAUAAUUUAUGAGUUAAAUAUUAUUUUGUGAAAGAAUAUAAGUAUAUAUAAGUUAUAAACAUACAACCUUUACCUUCAUGUAAGCUGUUUCAGUAUCUGCUAUUGUUCUGUCAUAUUCAUUCCUGACUCCAAUUCUCUUUGCCAAACUGUCAUUUAAAAGUGUAAGUUUACAUGACAUUUUCUCGAUUUCGCGUUGUAAAUUAUUUUUUUCUUCUUCCUGGGACUCUAUCUGAGCUUGGAGUUCAGCUCGUUUCAGUUUCAUCUCUUCUAAACCUAAAACGUAUUGCAUAUACAUAUGUAAUCUAUCUAAUUAGGAAUUAGAUUAGUACAGUCGAAAAAAACAGGUUUUAUCUUUGAGAAAAUUGAACAAUAACUUUCCAUGUAAAAUACAUUGCGAUUUACCUAUAUUAAUUUUUAGGUUAAACGAUAUCACUUACAUUUAACGAGCUCCUGGUUAUACGUUUGUAGGGCAGCUCCGUGCUGAGACAUCAUGAACCCUCCAUUAACGCAAAAUUUUCAUAGAAAACGUGUAUAAUGAUCAAAAAGUUAUGAGAAACGGAUAAUGUUUACUAACAAUACGUUGUCAAGACAUUUAUAUAGACGAGAUUUUAGUUUGGCGCGCAAUUCUCUACCAACGAUAUUUUGCGCAUGCGUACCAGAAACUACAAAAAUACGAAUGUGUGUUCUCUUUUAGUAAAUUUUUAUGUAAAGAAUUUUUUAAAUCUCCCAUUAAUUCUCGUGGAAAUUCAACUAAACACACAUAAUGUGAUCAUCUUAUAUGGAAACACUUAUAUUUUCUAUUCUUAAAAAUGUAUGUACGAACAUAAUAACAAAUUUCUGAAGCUGCAUUUUAUAAUCUUAUAAUUUCACAUGAGCCUUUUUCCUGAUCCCACAAAUCGCUUGUUUCAGGAAAGACAUUACUAUAAAAACCGUGAUUUUCCAGCUAACACAAAAGAAAACUUAGUAACAUUAACACACGAUGCGUAAACUAUACAAGGACCUUCUAAUCGAUUAUCUCAUUUGAUUUCCGUAAUCACUCCUGUCUCAAUGGCUGAAGAGAAUCUUCUAUUUCAUAAGCAAAUAUAUAUUUAUAUAAAACAAAAGUUUUCAACGCUAUUUUGCGUGAAACAAAGUUUCUCUGUUAGAGGUUAGGUUUUUAGACGGAAGUUAACUCGAUAAUUUUAAAUUUGUGCAAACUCUGUGCAGCCACGGACGGGUGAGAUGAAUAAUCGCAGGCGAUCAUAAGAAGGACAACUCGUGCUACACCUGAGCUCGCCUUUUAAAGGCGUCACAGGAGCGUGGUGGAAAAGCGCACACUACGAUGAAUGCGCCUUUCGCUCGGGAGCACCAACCAUUCCAGCUAUUCCAGCCGAGAAGUGAACGAGUGAGCGAGCGAGCGAACGAACGAGCGAACGAACGCGCGAUACAGACGGACAGACCGACGGACGUUUCGCUACGAUCGUGUCUCGAUUUUGCGCUUCGAUCGGCCGAACGCGAUGCACGACGCCGCUGGUCUGCGCGAACGUCGUCGCCGUCGAGAUCGAUCAUCAAUCGUCGUGAGUGCUCUUUGAUACAAGUGCAUGAGACGCGUACAAACAAUCACGAGGAGGCGAGGAGAGAAGCGCACGGUAUGGGCCAGAAGCGGUGAAUCAGUUCGCCAAAAACUGAGCGAGCGAUCGAUAUGUCGCGAUCCAGCUUUACGCGCGUUUCCACGAGACGACGAGGAAUCGGCUGUUAGCUGGUUGACAGUAAAAAUAACACG
Odontomachus brunneus is the source of this 4062-nucleotide RNA transcript. RefSeq lists it as uncharacterized. Lineage: Eukaryota; Metazoa; Arthropoda; Insecta; Hymenoptera; Formicidae. The transcript has 3 exons. The record is from RefSeq and is a predicted model, not a curated record.